This 434-nucleotide ribosomal RNA is filed under the name uncultured Cellulomonas sp. Its description in RNAcentral is "bacterial SSU rRNA". It matches the Rfam family "Bacterial small subunit ribosomal RNA", at positions 945 to 1382 of the family's 1533-position model. The record is from RNAcentral. Lineage: Bacteria; Bacillati; Actinomycetota; Actinomycetes; Micrococcales; Cellulomonadaceae.
AUUAAUUCGAUGCAACGCGAAGAACCUUACAAGCUUGACAUACACCGGUAACGCCCAGAGAUGGGUGCCCCUUUGUGGUCGGUGUACAGGUGGUGCAUGGUUGUCGUCAGCUCGUGUCGUGAGAUGUUGGGUUAAGUCCCGCAACGAGCGCAACCCUCGUCCUAUGUUGCCAGCGGGUCAUGCCGGGGACUCAUGGGAGACUGCCGGGGUCAACUCGGAGGAAGGUGGGAUGACGUCAAAUCAUCAUGCCCCUUAUGUCUUGGGCUUCACGCAUGCUACAAUGGCCGGUACAAAGGGCUGCGAUACCGCGAGGUGGAGCGAAUCCCAGAAAGCCGGUCUCAGUUCGGAUUGGGGUCUGCAACUCGACCCCAUGAAGUCGGAGUCGCUAGUAAUCGCAGAUCAGCAACGCUGCGGUGAAUACGUUCCCGGGCCUU